GUGCUCGUGUUGGUAGCACAGACACUGAAACUGGAAUGACAGAGAUGAGCGUGGUUCCUACAUAAGGAUGAUACACAAAUUCAUGAAGAGUUCCACUUUUUA
Jaculus jaculus (lesser Egyptian jerboa) is the source of this 102-nucleotide small nuclear RNA. The record is from Ensembl. Lineage: Eukaryota; Metazoa; Chordata; Mammalia; Rodentia; Dipodidae.